UAACGAAUCUUCCGCAAUGCACGAAAGUGUGACGGAGCGACGCCGCGUGUGGGACGAAGCCCUCGGGGUGUAAACCACUGUCAGGGGAAAGAAAGUUCUGAUCUACCCCAGAGGAAGAGGCGGCUAACUCUGUGCCAGCAGCCGCGGUAAUACAGAGGCCUCGAGCGUUAGGCGGAAUCACUGGGCUUAAAGCGUGUGUAGGCGGACUUCUAAGUACCUUGUGAAAUCCCACGGCUUACCCGUGGAACUGCUUGGUAUACUGGUUGUCUUGAGCUUUUCUAGGGGCGAGCGGAACAAAUGGUGGAGCGGUGAAAUGCGUAGAUAUCAUUUGGAACGCCAAUGGUGAAAACAGCUCGCUGGGGAAAUGCUGACGCUGAGACACGAAAGCCAGGGGAGCGAACGGGAUUAGAUACCCGAGUAGUCCUGA
This 427-nucleotide ribosomal RNA is filed under the name uncultured bacterium. Its description in RNAcentral is "bacterial SSU rRNA". It matches the Rfam family "Bacterial small subunit ribosomal RNA", at positions 355 to 799 of the family's 1533-position model. The record is from RNAcentral.